UCUAUCCGUUUAUUGAGACGAUUUUGACUAGAAGAAUAAAGUAAGGUUUAGACAAUAGACAUCAUGCAUGGUUUCUGGUUGCGUUUUGUUUUUAGCACAUAUAUGUCUUGUCAAUUAUUAUAAAUAAGUACCUAAGUAACAUUUUCAGAAAGAUCUUUUACAGUGAAGUUAGAAAGUACAUUGUAUUAUUAUUAUUAUUUUUAACAUUGCGUGCACAUGGUAAACGAAUCAAUUGUAUAGGAAAUGUAUACAUAAUUAAUGCAAUCUUUUGUUUUAGUGGUAAAAUAAUUUAAAUUGAACGCUUGUUUAUUAAAAAAGAACAAAACAAAAUAAAUAAUGAUAAUAAUAAUUACAAUAGUAAAUAAAUUUAAAGAAUUCCUUGUAGGUGGCUUUGUAUUAUUUUAAAUCGAUUCAAAUCCAAUAUUCCAAAAAAAAUAUUUCUUUAAUAUGAAAAAUUAAUGUUAUAUUUUUAAAAAUUAUCUUUUAUCGGAAAUCGCUGAACUUUACAGUCACUAUAAUGAUUGGGGCCCAUUUAUUGUUAUAGCCUCUUCUUCCGGUCCGGCUGCAGUUUGAAGUAGAGAAUUAAGUGGCUUCUAACGGGUCGCAUAUUUGUAUACUGGAAUCCAUUUCGGUACCAGGCCAGUCGUGAUUGAUCUAUUCAAAUUACGUACUCGUCAUCACUUUUAUUUUAAGU
This is a non-coding RNA of Cinara cedri, 694 nucleotides long. The record is from the annotation of a GenBank genome assembly. NCBI's taxonomy places the organism in Eukaryota, Metazoa, Arthropoda, Insecta, Hemiptera, Aphididae.